GUGACGCUGGCGGCGUGCCUAUACAUGCAAGUCGAACGGGAUCCAAGAGUGCUUGCACUUUUGUGUGAGAGUGGCGCACGGGUGAGUAACACGUAGCUGACCUGCCUUUCACUGGGGGAUAACUCGUCGAAAGAUGAGCUAAUACCGCGUACGCUUGGAGAGUUUAGAAGUCUUCAAGGAAAGAAUUAGCAUCGGUGAAAGAGGGGGCUGCGGUCCAUCAGCUAGUUGGUGAGGUAAAAGCUCACCAAGGCACCGACGGGUAGGGGACCUGAGAGGGUGACCCCCCACACUGGAACUGAGACACGGUCCAGACUCCUACGGGAGGCAGCAGUAAGGAAUAUUGCACAAUGGACGCUAGUCUGAUGCAGCAACGCCGCGUGAAGGAUGAAGGCUUUCGAGUUGUAAACUUCUUUUCUCAGGGACGAGCAAGGACGGUCCUGAGGAAUAAGUCUCGGCUACUACGUGCCACAGCCGCGGUAAACGUAGGAGGCAGCCGUUAUCCGGAGUACUGGCCGUAAAGCGCUGUAGCGGUUUUGUAGGUCAGAUGUGAAAGCUCCAAGC
This 561-nucleotide ribosomal RNA is filed under the name uncultured Gram-positive bacterium. Its description in RNAcentral is "bacterial SSU rRNA". It matches the Rfam family "Bacterial small subunit ribosomal RNA", at positions 30 to 608 of the family's 1533-position model. The record is from RNAcentral.